Molecule: transfer RNA, 77 nt
Filed under: bacterium
Lineage: Bacteria
Also listed under: 2 other names
Description: tRNA-Ile
Rfam family: tRNA
About the family: Transfer RNA (tRNA) molecules are approximately 80 nucleotides in length. Their secondary structure includes four short double-helical elements and three loops (D, anti-codon, and T loops).
Source: RNAcentral
GGGCCCAUAGCUCAGUUGGUUAGAGCAGUCGGCUCAUAACCGAAAGGUCCCAGGUUCAAAUCCUGGUGGGCCCACCA